UUCCUUUUUCCUCAUAAACAGGUCUCACUGUGUCAAAGCCAGACCUGAUUAUGUUUUUGGAGCAAGACAACUGGCUCUGGGAUGUGAAGAGGAAGGAGAACAUAGGCUUCCAUCCAGAAUGCAUCAGAAUUUAG
This 134-nucleotide long non-coding RNA is filed under the name Mustela putorius furo (domestic ferret). Its description in RNAcentral is "lncRNA (ENSMPUG00000023831.1)". The record is from RNAcentral. Lineage: Eukaryota; Metazoa; Chordata; Mammalia; Carnivora; Mustelidae.